This 529-nucleotide ribosomal RNA is filed under the name uncultured bacterium. RNAcentral describes it as "bacterial SSU rRNA". It matches the Rfam family "Bacterial small subunit ribosomal RNA", at positions 980 to 1509 of the family's 1533-position model. The record is from RNAcentral.
CUUGACAUCCAGAGAAUUUAGCAGAGAUGCUUUAGUGCCUUCGGGAACUCUGAGACAGGUGCUGCAUGGCUGUCGUCAGCUCGUGUUGUGAAAUGUUGGGUUAAGUCCGCAACGAGCGCAACCCUUAUCCUUUGUUGCCAGCACGUAAUGGUGGGAACUCAAAGGAGACUGCCGGUGAUAAACCGGAGGAAGGUGGGGAUGACGUCAAGUCAUCAUGGCCCUUACGAGUAGGGCUACACACGUGCUACAAUGGCGUAUACAAAGAGAAGCGACCUCGCGAGAGCAAGCGGACCUCAUAAAGUGUGUCGUAGUCCGGAUUGGAGUCUGCAACUCGACUCCAUGAAGUCGGAAUCGCUAGUAAUCGUAAAUCAGAAUGUUACGGUGAAUACGUUCCCGGGCCUUGUACACACCGCCCGUCACACCAUGGGAGUGGGUUGCAAAAGAAGUAGAUAGCUUAACCUUCGGGAGGGCGUUUACCACUUUGUGAUUCAUGACUGGGGUGAAGUCGUAACAAGGUAGGCGUAGUGCU